GGAGAGCCAAGCCGAUUGGCGACGGCAUCGGUUUCGAAAGCCGACGAGCCCUCAUGGGGCCUUCGGAGUUCGACUCUCCGGCUCUCCG
RNAcentral lists this transfer RNA (88 nucleotides) under Anaerolineae bacterium. RNAcentral describes it as "tRNA-Ser". It matches the Rfam family "tRNA". From Rfam's summary of the family: Transfer RNA (tRNA) molecules are approximately 80 nucleotides in length. Their secondary structure includes four short double-helical elements and three loops (D, anti-codon, and T loops). The record is from RNAcentral. Lineage: Bacteria; Bacillati; Chloroflexota; Anaerolineae.